GACGAACGCUGGCGGCGUGCUUAACACAUGCAAGUCGAGCGGAAAGGCCACUUCGGUGGUACUCGAGCGGCGAACGGGUGAGUAACACGUGAGUAAUCUGCCCCCCACUUUGGGGUAGCCACCGGAAACGGUGAUUAAUACCGGAUAUGACCCUUGACCGCAUGGAUGUGGGUGGAAAGUUUUUCGGUGGGGGAUGUGCUUGCGGCCUAUCAGCUUGAUGGUGGGGUAAUGGCCUACCAUGGCUUCGACGGGUAGCCGGCCUGAGAGGGUGACCGGCCACACUGGGACUGAGACACGGCCCAGACUCCUACGGGAGGCAGCAGUGGGGAAUAUUGGACAAUGGGCGGAAGCCUGAUCCAGCAACGCCGCGUGAGGGAUGACGGCCUUCGGGUUGUAAACCUCUUUCAGUACCGACGAAGCGAAAGUGACGGCAGGUACAGAAGAAGCACCGGCCAACUACGUGCCAGCAGCCGCAGUAA
RNAcentral lists this ribosomal RNA (479 nucleotides) under uncultured bacterium. Its description in RNAcentral is "partial 16S ribosomal RNA". It matches the Rfam family "Bacterial small subunit ribosomal RNA", at positions 28 to 523 of the family's 1533-position model. The record is from RNAcentral.